This 90-nucleotide transfer RNA is filed under the name Alphaproteobacteria bacterium. Its description in RNAcentral is "tRNA-Ser". It matches the Rfam family "tRNA". From Rfam's summary of the family: Transfer RNA (tRNA) molecules are approximately 80 nucleotides in length. Their secondary structure includes four short double-helical elements and three loops (D, anti-codon, and T loops). Further hydrogen bonds mediate the characteristic L-shaped molecular structure. tRNAs have two regions of fundamental functional importance: the anti-codon, which is responsible for specific mRNA codon recognition, and the 3' end, to which the tRNAs corresponding amino acid is attached (by aminoacyl-tRNA synthetases). tRNAs cope with the degeneracy of the genetic code in two manners: having more than one tRNA (with a specific anti-codon) for a particular amino acid; and 'wobble' base-pairing, i.e. permitting non-standard base-pairing at the 3rd anti-codon position. The record is from RNAcentral. Lineage: Bacteria; Pseudomonadati; Pseudomonadota; Alphaproteobacteria. RNAcentral also lists the same sequence under 1 other name.
GGAGAGGUGGCCGAGUGGUUGAUGGCGCCCGCUUGGAAAGCGUGUAUGCGGGGAACCGUAUCGAGGGUUCGAAUCCCUUCCUCUCCUCCA